RNAcentral lists this long non-coding RNA (2397 nucleotides) under Zea mays. RNAcentral's name for it is "long non-coding RNA (ZMAY_LNC001016)". The record is from RNAcentral. Lineage: Eukaryota; Viridiplantae; Streptophyta; Magnoliopsida; Poales; Poaceae.
AAAAAUCUAGUCUAGGAUUCUGACUCGGCCUCGACCCUGUCGUCCUUGAAGGUCCUACUAUCCCUAUGUUGUUCGUCGUUAUCUUGGUCAUGUGGUGGCCGCAACUUCCUAUGUUAGUCCCUAGUCCACAUCGUCGUCCAGCUCAGUAGCCGUAUACCAUCGACAGAGGAGAGAAAUCACUGGAUUGCGUGACAAAGAAGCGUAGUCCAAUAUGACACCUGCCAGCCAAGCACUCGACAAAUUCCCUGAAUCGGAGAACCAUUACCGAUCUCGUGUAUUCGAGUCAGCUAUUGGAAUGGUAAGCUGAUGUAUUAUUCCUGCUACCUAAAUUUUUGAAUGGAUAAAGCGAAUGAUGAGUUUGGUAGGAUCAAUCGGUGUCGCUUGUGCUUAGUUAAUUUUUAUUGUGUGAAGGUCGCAAGCGCUCAAUGUGGAAGAAUGGAAUUAGAUGAAGAAGAAAGAGAGGUUCAGCGCGAUGCUCACUAGGUGCUCAAUAAAUUGCGAGUCACGGAACUCUCGUCGACUUCGAGGUUCUUGCGUUUAUCGAGCCAGAUUCAGUUAUAGCAAGUUAUUUCGCUAUUCCAGUCAAUUAGCUGAAUUGGUGGACCGAGUAGAAUAUUAGUAGGCCUGUGUGAUGAUAAAAUAUUUUAAUCACUUAUAAAGAUGUGUAUAUAUUUACGAUAAAAAAUCGUUGAUAUAUGAACUAAAAUUUGAAUUACUACUUUCAGUGAAAAGAAUAUUGGUAGAUAUAUAUAUGGUAUGAUGGUGUUCGCGAUGGUGAAGUAGUUGUGUCGUGUGAAGCUUAGGAUUGUUUUUAAUUUAGGAUUGUUAUUAAAAUAUGAUGUGUAACACGGGAUAUGGGAAAUUAUGAAAUAAAAUGACUUGUGAUGAUGAACCCAUUGUGGCCAUGAUGGUUUCAUCAUUCAAGUAGGGUACCUCUCUCAGGUAUCAAGCUCUGGGAAAUAAUAUGUAAUGUAGACCAGACGUUGAGUAGGAAAGUUCGCCCGUUAGUGUCGAUUAAGGACCGUUCGAUGUAGGCCUGUUGUGGUGGAGACUUUGCAACUAGCCACAUGCUUCGGUAAGCCUGAACCUGGCUAUUCCAUACAUGAAAAGACAAUCGCGCACUGGGCGUGGGAGAUGGUGGGAGUAGUGUGUACCCUCUUGGCUAGAGGCUGGACGAAGGAGUACUGUGCUCUCGAGUAGCGCGGACUGGUUCACGUUGUGGAGGAUCUGUGCAAAUGGUUGACAUAUGCAAGGGUUAAGUGCUACAUAUGUCGUGUUGUUAGGGAUCCCCAGCUGGGUAUAAUCGGUUCGAAUCGUCGUUGCUCCUCGGUCAUGGAGACUACCCUCCGACCACUCAUCGUAGUUUAUAAGUAAAAUAAGAAUUUGGGUAAAAGAAAGCUAGACCAGGACAAGUGAAUGCUCUAGAUUAGGCAAAUCUAGAUUCAGGAAAAGUACUUAACUGGUGAAGUAAAAUUUUGGCAUAAAGGUUCACUACUAGUAAGCUCUUCUGCAAAUGAGUCUUUGAAAUUUGAUAAGCCUUACCUUGAAUCCUUUUAAAACCAGCAUACCCUUGAGAGUCUUUUCUUUAGUCGGGUAAGUCUUGCUGAGUACUUGCGUACUUAGGGUUUUAUUCCCAUUGUUGCUGCAGGUUACGAGUCACUUUGAUUGUGAUUGAUGUUAAGUGCCGGUGGGCUCGGCCUUCUUAUAAGUCUAAGUACUUCUUCUAUACUUCUUAUUGAGGAUUGUCAUUGAGCUAGCAUGUAUUUCAAACUUAUAAAUAAUUUAUAACAUUUCAAAGUUUAUUCUUUGAACCACUAUUGUAACCACUCCGAUAAAUAUAAUGUAAAUUUGUUGUUACAUGUAAAAUUUGGUAAUAAGAUUUCCGCUGCAAAUUGUUGGUGUGUGAUUUGUGUUUACUUAAUCCUGCGGUCCUAGUUGUUUGUGGUUUAUCCGGGGUCCUUGGGACAAUCAGACGGAUCCUGUUAAGUUAUCUGGUGCACAUGCAUAGCCGUCUGAGGUCUUUGAGAUAAGGGUAGGUGCAUGUGGGCCUAAUAACUUGGGAGGUUCUGCCACAGCUGGUAUCAGAGCAAGAUUAAGUAUAAUACGGUCACAUACGUAUUUUCAAAACAAAGUUUUGGUUUUAGAAAAUCUAUUUUCAACUAAACACAUUGUUUGGUUUUGAAAAACAGAUCUGAAAAACUAUAAUGCUAGCAACAUCCUCUGUUAAGCCCUAAAUUAACACACAACCGGGGGGAUAUUUCAUACAUGUGUAAUGUUAUUUUUAAGGCCAUUCAGUCUUGAAUGGAUCGACGCUUAGGUAAGGUGAGAUGUGAGAGCAUAACCGAACAAACAUCGGUCUAAGGAAGAGUAUAAAAAGCGCUUGAUUAUAUACAUUUU